This 247-nucleotide unclassified non-coding RNA is filed under the name Bombus terrestris (buff-tailed bumblebee). RNAcentral's name for it is "misc RNA ENSBTSG00005022838.1". Lineage: Eukaryota; Metazoa; Arthropoda; Insecta; Hymenoptera; Apidae. The record is from RNAcentral.
GAAACAACGAAUACGAAUGGUCUGUUGAAAUAAACGAAGCCUUGUUAUAAUAUGUCGCUAUCAAUUGUUACCAAGGCGCCACGGUGGUCACCCGUGACCACCAAUAAGAUAAACGGUCCAUUGGGGAAGAAUGUUGUCUUACAUCAUCAAUUUAUUAUUAUUUUGCCAUUGUAUGCUUUGAAUAAUAAUAAUACUCCCGUGGCGUCCUCAGCGAAACAUGUGAUUUCGGCAUGGCAGUCAAAGCGUU